Molecule: RNase P RNA, 381 nt
Filed under: Planctomycetaceae bacterium
Lineage: Bacteria; Pseudomonadati; Planctomycetota; Planctomycetia; Planctomycetales; Planctomycetaceae
Description: RNase P RNA component class A
Rfam family: Bacterial RNase P class A
About the family: Ribonuclease P (RNase P) is a ubiquitous endoribonuclease, found in archaea, bacteria and eukarya as well as chloroplasts and mitochondria. Its best characterised activity is the generation of mature 5'-ends of tRNAs by cleaving the 5'-leader elements of precursor-tRNAs.
Source: RNAcentral
GGAGAGGGCCGAGUGGUCGCUGCGCGGGUGCUUUUCGGAGUGCGUCGCGUGGAGGAAAGUCCGGGCUCCACAGGACACGGUGGUGGGUAACGCCCACCGUCCGCAAGGACAGGGAAAGUGCCACAGAGAACAGACCGCCGAUCGGGGGUCCGCCAGGAUCCCAGGAGGCAAGGGUGAAACGGUGCGGUAAGAGCGCACCAGCAGGCCGGGUGACCGGCCUGGCUCGGUAAACCCCACUGGGAGCAAGAUCAAGCAGGGAGCCUUGUUGGACUGGUCCGGUCCGCCGUGACUCCCGGGUCGAUCGCACGAGGCGACGGGCAACCGUCGUCCCAGAGAAAUGACCACUCUCGACACAACCCGGCUUACAGGCCCUCUCCGUCC